Molecule: ribosomal RNA, 1474 nt
Filed under: Hoplonympha natator
Lineage: Eukaryota; Parabasalia; Trichonymphida; Hoplonymphidae
Description: SSU rRNA
Rfam family: Eukaryotic small subunit ribosomal RNA
Source: RNAcentral
AAGUGUUAGUUCAGGUAACGAAACUGCGAACAGCUCAUUAACACACUUAGGAUCUAAUUGAUUGCGACUAAUUUAGUCAUAUAUGGAUAGCAGGAGUAAUUCUCGUGCUAAUACAUGCAAUUGUUACAUCAGAAAUGAAAUAUGAUGUAAAAGUUUACCUUUUUAGGAAAAUCAUAUGAUUGAGUGACCUAUCAGCUAAUACUUAGGGUCUUUUCCUAUGUAGGCUAUCACGGGUACCGGGCGGUUGCCGUCGUACUGCCGGAGAAGGCGCCUGAGAGAUAGCGACUAUGCCUACGGGCAGCAGCAGGCGCGAAACUUACCCACUCGACGACGUCGGAGGUGGUUAUGACCAGUUCUUGUUUGAGCUUCGGUUCAAAUUGGAUAGGAUAAUAAAUAGAUAUCAUUAUGUAAUCUAGCAGAGGGCCAGUCUGGUGCCAGCAGCCGCGGUAAUUCCAGCUCUGCGAGUUUGCUCCCAUAUUGUUGCAGUUAAAACGCCCGUAGUCUGAAGUCUAAAGUUGAAUAGGCAAAUUGCCGUUCACUGUGAACAAAUCAGGACGCUUAGAGUAAGUCUACAUGAAUGAUCUAGCACAGUCUGAAUAAUUUGCUUCUAUUAGCAAAAUCAAAGAGAACCAUUGGGGGGUAGUUCUAUUUCAUGGCGAACGGUGGACUGUUUUGACCCAUGAGAGAGAAACGAAAGCGAAGGCAACUACCUAGAGGGUAUCUAUCGAUCAAGGGCGAGAGUAGGAGUAGCGAACCGGAUUAGAGACCCGGGUAGUUCCUACAGUAAACGAUGUCGACAGGGGAUUGGUUUAAACAGUAAAUCAGCACCCUAAGAGAAAUCAUAGUUCAUGGACUCUGGGGGAACUACGAUCGCAAGACUGAAACUUGAAGGAAUUGACGGAAGGGCACACAAGGGGUGGAGCCUGUGGCUUAAUUUGAAUCAACACGGGGAAACUUACCAGGACAAAAUGAUAUGGUGACUGACAGUUUGAAGAGCUUUCAGGAUAUGUUUGUGGGUGGUGCAUGGCCGUUGGUGGUGCGUGGGUUGACCUGUCUAGCGUUGAUUCAGGUAGCGAGCGAGAUUACCGCCAAAAAUAAUAGGGAAUUAAAAUCUUAAAUUGAUAAUUCAUACUUCUAUUUGGAACUGCCUGGUUUAAAACAGGAGGAAGGUGGUAGCAAUAACAGGUCCGUGAUGUCCUUCAGAUGCUCUGGGCUGCACGCGUGCUACAAUGUGAAUAUCAAAUGGAAAAUGCUACUUUGAUAAAAGAUGCUACUCCAUAAUGAUUCACGUAGUUGGGAUUGAAGAUUGUAAUCAUUUUCAUGAACUAGGAAUUCCCUGUAAGCGUGUGUCAACAACGCACGUUGAAUACGUCCCUGCCCUUUGUACACACCGCCCGUCGCUCCUACCGAUCAAAUGACCUGGUGAAAUUGUCAGAUCUUAUUAUUAGAAAAGACAUUUAAAUCAUGUUGUCUA